This 236-nucleotide ribosomal RNA is filed under the name uncultured bacterium. RNAcentral describes it as "partial 16S ribosomal RNA". It matches the Rfam family "Bacterial small subunit ribosomal RNA", at positions 100 to 334 of the family's 1533-position model. The record is from RNAcentral.
CGGCACGGGUGAGUAACACGUAUCCAACCUGCCGUCUACUCUUGGACAGCCUUCUGAAAGGAAGAUUAAUACAAGAUGGCAUCAUGAGUCCGCAUGUUCACAUGAUUAAAGGUAUUCCGGUAGACGAUAGGGAUGCGUUCCAUUAGAUAGUAGGCGGGGUAACGGCCCACCUAGUCUUCGAUGGAUAGGGGUUCUGAGAGGAAGGUCCCCCACAUUGGAACUGAGACACGGUCCAA